This 225-nucleotide long non-coding RNA is filed under the name Phoenix dactylifera (date palm). RNAcentral's name for it is "long non-coding RNA (PDAC_LNC007885)". The record is from RNAcentral. Lineage: Eukaryota; Viridiplantae; Streptophyta; Magnoliopsida; Arecales; Arecaceae.
CCAAAAUAUUUUCUAAUAUAUCAAGGAUAAUUUUGUUAUUUUAGAAACAUUUGAUAGUUUAUUCUAAUUUUUAGCUUAUUUUUAAAAUUUUGACAACCAAACAGAAUUUGACAAAUAGCCAGUGUAGCUAAGUCUCCUAACAUAACUUUCCUUAUUCCCAUUUUUCUUAAUUUCCUACCAACGUCACUAAGUUCAAAGAAGGAAUAGUCACUGGUGUUAUUUACU